UAGAGGAAGUAAAAGUCGUAACAAGGUUUCCGUAGGUGAACCUGCGGAAGGAUCAUUAAAAAGGAUGGAUGGGUUUUUAUUGAACUCAUCUAAUAUCUGAACUUGUGGUAAUAUUGAUAAAACAUUUGGGCUUUAAAAUGGUAUUUGAUUUCAUUGAAUACCGGCCCAAAAACUUUAUAAACCUCUUUUAUUAUUGACUGAAUAUCAAGUAAAUUAAUCCAUUUGGGUUAAAAAAAGUUUUAAAUAACUUUCAACAACGGAUCUCUUGGUUCUCGCAUCGAUGAAGAACGCAGCGAAAUGCGAUACGUAAUGUGAAUUGCAGAUUUUGUGAAUCAUCGAAUCUUUGAACGCAUAUUGCACUCUUUGGUAUUCCGAAGAGUAUGCUUGUUUCAGUAUCAUGAAAAUCUCACAAUUCUUAAUUUUUUUUUGAGAAUUAGUGGACUUGGGUUUGCGAUUCUAGUAAUUGCUAAUCUGAAAUGAAUUUCAUGAAGCUAACAUGCUUUUAAUCUUUGCUUAAUAGUUUUGCUUUGUCAAAUC
RNAcentral lists this ribosomal RNA (537 nucleotides) under Mucoromycotina sp. D5-2-NN-2016. Its description in RNAcentral is "eukaryotic LSU rRNA". The stretch from base 246 to 398 matches the Rfam family "5.8S ribosomal RNA". Lineage: Eukaryota; Fungi; Mucoromycota. The record is from RNAcentral.